GCUUCGCUGCCGCCGGGCAGCCAAAACGCCAGAACUCACGUCGUUAGGCCUUUGAAGACGUGAGAUCCGGCGUUUUUAUUUU
RNAcentral lists this non-coding RNA (82 nucleotides) under unclassified sequences. The record is from RNAcentral.